Long non-coding RNA from Ooceraea biroi (clonal raider ant), 382 nucleotides. RefSeq lists it as uncharacterized. The record is from RefSeq and is a predicted model, not a curated record. Lineage: Eukaryota; Metazoa; Arthropoda; Insecta; Hymenoptera; Formicidae.
GCUAACUCCAUUCGCACUUUUAAUCCGGGAAUUUUCGAGCGUCCACUGGAGCAUCUUCUGGAUGCUUAUCUAUGGCAGAAAGGUCCAUCAGAGAUGUCCAUCCAGUCGUCGCCACCGGCUCUGCACGAUUAUUCUUGAUUUCAUCCUUCGCCAAGUUUGUAGCCGAGGACCACGUCCUCUUAUUUUCGGAACCACUUCAAAAUUUAUAUUUGUGAUAAAUUUUUAAUAUAAUAUUCUAUAAUAAAAUUAAGUAAAAAGUUUCGAAUGUGCGUUUAUGAGACGACAAGUUAAAACAAUUAUCGAGCAUAACAGCAGUAUUACAAUUUAUAUUCAAAAAUGCAAUAAAGAAAUUUUGCAAACAGUAAUACAUGAACUCAAACAU